This is a long non-coding RNA of Amphibalanus amphitrite, 423 nucleotides long. RefSeq lists it as uncharacterized. The transcript is spliced from 2 exons. The record is from RefSeq and is a predicted model, not a curated record. Lineage: Eukaryota; Metazoa; Arthropoda; Thecostraca; Balanomorpha; Balanidae.
CGGGAAACAUUGCCACCGGUGCUGCACCGUGGGCUCCGGCGCGGCGCGGCAGAGUCGUCCCACAGCUCCGUGUCACCAGCGGACCUUCACCAUGACGAACCGAGCCGAGAGCCGACAUCUGAAGCGACUGCGUUCAGAAGAGUCGGAUCCGGCACCCAAGAAGCGGCGACGUCAAAGAGCUGACAACUCCUCCAGAGCUCCCGCAGCUGGCAGAGACGGCAGACAGGAGUCGGUGCAGGAGACGAGGGUGGAAAUGAAGCAAGAACAACGCUCGAAUAGAGAGGAGAGGAUGGUAUCAACGGCAGAGACGGAGAUGGAGCCAAAUAAGGGACCAAAAGAGUUGAUAACUGUUAGGAGACUCAGUCAAGAGCUUGAACUGCAGUCUAGUUCAGAACAGACGAGCUCUGUUGAUGGCACGAUGGA